GGAGGGAUCAUUACCGAGUUUACAACUCCCAAACCCCUGUGAACAUACCUAUACGUUGCCUCGGCGGAUCAGCCCGCGCCCCGUAAAACGGGACGGCCCGCCCGAGGACCCUAAACUCUGUUUUUAGUGGAACUUCUGAGUAAAACAAACAAAUAAAUCAAAACUUUCAACAACGGAUCUCUUGGUUCUGGCAUCGAUGAAGAACGCAGCAAAAUGCGAUAAGUAAUGUGAAUUGCAGAAUUCAGUGAAUCAUCGAAUCUUUGAACGCACAUUGCGCCCGCCAGUAUUCUGGCGGGCAUGCCUGUUCGAGCGUCAUUUCAACCCUCAAGCUCAGCUUGGUGUUGGGACUCGCGGUAACCCGCGUUCCCCAAAUCGAUUGGCGGUCACGUCGAGCUUCCAUAGCGUAGUAAUCAUACACAUCGUUACUGGUAAUCGUCGCGGCCUCGCCGUAAAACCCCAACUUCUGAAUGUUGACCUCGG
This 480-nucleotide ribosomal RNA is filed under the name fungal endophyte. Its description in RNAcentral is "eukaryotic LSU rRNA". The stretch from base 162 to 315 matches the Rfam family "5.8S ribosomal RNA". Lineage: Eukaryota; Fungi. The record is from RNAcentral.